GAUGAACGCUGGCGGCGUGCCUAAUACAUGCAAGUCGAGCGAACAGACGCGGAGCUUGCUCCUCUGACGUUAGCGGCGGACGGGUGAGUAACACGUGGAUAACCUACUUAUAAGACUGGGAUAACUUCGGGAAAACGGAGCUAAUACCGGAUAAUAUAUUGAAUCGCAUGGUUCAAUAGUCAAAGAAGGUUUUGGUGUCACUUAUAGAUGGAUCCGCGCCGCAUUAGCUAGUUGGUAAGGUAAUGGCCUACCAAGGCGACGAUGCGUAGCCGGCCUGAGAGGGUGAUCGGCCACACUGGAACUGAGACACGGUCCAGACUCCUACGGGAGGCAGCAGUAGGGAAUCUUCCGCAAUGGGCGAAAGCCUGACGGAGCAACGCCGCGUGAGUGAUGAAGGUCUUCGGAUCGUAAAACUCUGUUAUUAGGGAAGAACAAAUGUGUAAGUAACUAUGCACGUCUUGACGGUACCUAAUCAGAAAGCCACGGCUAACUACGUG
Molecule: ribosomal RNA, 497 nt
Filed under: uncultured bacterium
Lineage: Bacteria
Description: partial 16S ribosomal RNA
Rfam family: Bacterial small subunit ribosomal RNA
Source: RNAcentral